GAAGAGAAAGAAGAGGGGGAGGAGGGGAGGAGGAGGAGAAGGAGGAGGAGGAGAGGAAGACAGACCACAGUAGGACUUAUUCUCGUGAAACAUAGAACCACUAGUCCAUGUGUCUCCACUGAGAAAGUUACAAAGUCUGGCAGCGUCUGAGCACAGCCCAGGCUAAACUCCCUGGUGCUGUGUAAUCUUCUUAGCUCUACCUUCAAAACACUCCCGGUCCAGCCGUGAGUCCAGCCUCUAUUUAACACGCUGCUUCCUAUUGUUUGUUUGAGCCAUUGGAUACGGCUUCUUGGCAGUGGGCAUGGCCUGGGUUUGUUCUCCAGCACACCACGCAAAACAAAUAAAUAAUUCAGGAAAGCUCUGCAGAGCUUCCCACUUCCAUCCCUGCCCCUCUGGUGAUGUUUCUAAAGUGGUCAAGAAUGGAGCCAGGCACGGGGCACAGACCUUUAAUACUAGGACUUGGGAGGCAGAGGCAGGUUGAUCUCUGUGACUUUAAGGCCAGCCAGGCCUACAUGUCAAGUUCCAGACCAACCUAAAUAGUGAGACUUGACCUAAAAGGAAAUAUUUGAUUUCUGUUUCUGGAAUUACUAGAAGGGGGAGAAAAAGCCUGAAAACGUUUCCAUAAUAAAAGUGAAUUAGAAAAUUAAAAGAGAUUCUAAGCCAGGCAGGGUCAUUCACAACUGUAAUCUCAGCACUCAGGAGACUGAGGCAGGAGGAUUCCCACAUGUUUCAAGCCAGCUUGAGUUACAUAGUAAAUUCCAGUUAGUCUGGACUCAGAGUGAGACCAUGUUUCAAAAACCAAAAAUAACAAAGCUUCUAAAACUAUGAGAUAAAAUAUAACAGCAUAUCUCUUAAAAGACAUAGCUGAGGGGUUUUUUAAAAGAUUGAUUGAUUGGUUGGCUGGUUGGUUGGUUGGCUGGGUGAUUGAUUUAAUGAAUCCAAGUGCUGUUUUCAUGUGCACCAGAAAAGGGAAUCAGAUUCCAUUUCAGAUAGUUAUAAGCCACCAUGUGGUUGCUGGGAAUUGACCUUCGGACCACUAGAUCAGCAGCCAGUGCCCUCAACCACUGAACCAUCUCUCCAGCCCGAUAGCUGAGUUUUUAAGGAACAAAGGAAAAGAUCCAAAGCCAGGCAGUCAAGACACUUGAAUUCAAGCCCUGGUUUCCAUUCACUGGCUAAGUGACCCCAUCAAUUUCUCAAAGACAGAAGUACAAAUCAUUCAUCUUUAUAUGUGGUCCCCAGCAUAGGGCCCAGCACCAAGGAAGUGAUCAAUAAUGGACACCAAAUUGAUUAAUCAGUCAGCCAAGUGAUGAAUGAAUAACUUGUCUUGAGGAAGGACGGGAGUUUAGUCCUUUAAUAUCUCCAAAGGCCAAUGUGUUGAAAACCAUGUUUGUGCCUAGUGCCCGAGGAGGCCAGAAGAGCAUGCCAGGUCCCUUGGUGCUGAGAAUUAACCUGGAUCCUUUUGCAAGACCAGCAAGUACUCCUAACUGCUUACUCCUUCUUCAGCCCCGACCCCCGUUUCUUUAGACAGGAUCUCUCACUGGCACAGACUUUGCCAAGCAGGCUCCAGCACGGGGUUUACAAGCGUGUGCCACCAUGCCUAACUUUCAUAAAACAUAGGUUCUGGGCAUGGAACUCUGGUCUUCAUUAUUGCAAAGAGAACAUUUAUCAACCACGCUAUGUCCCCAACCCUCGUUAUGGCUUUGUUUUCCAUUUCCCUGAACCCUCAGUGAGACUCUGUUUAUUGGUUGUUCAAAUUUGGCCAAAGUUCCUGCAUUCUCCCUUCCUGUUGAAAGAGAUCUUUAAAUGUCCUGCAUGCCAUUCUGCUGGCAUUUGUGUGUCACAAAUGUCACCUCUCUAUCUUUGCUUCUUCUCCCAUUUUCUUUGUUAUUUUUUUUAUAUCAGAAUUUCUUGGUAUUCAUGUCAUAGAUUUAUCAACUCUUUUGGUUUAUAACGUUGUUAAAUAUUUAUUCCGUGUGUGUGUGUGUGUGUGUGUGUGUGUGUGUGUGUGUGUGUGUGUAGAAUAAUGAAAAGCUCAUAUUUAGGCUCUCUUUUUACCUCAGAAUUAUUCAUUGUUUUAAAAGAGAAAGUGUAGUAUAGCGUACUGUACUGUAGUAUGGUAUAGUGUACUGUAGUGUACUGUAGUCUAGUAUAGUGUACUGCACUGUAGUAUAUACUGUAGUGUGCUGUACUAUACUGUAUGGUAGUGUAGUGUACUGUACUAUAGCAUAGUAUAGUGUACUGUAGUAUACUAUAGUGUAGUAUGGUGAUCUAUAGUGUAGUAUAGUACACUGUAGUAUAGUGGACUAUAGUAUAGUGCAGUAUACUAUAUUGUAGUGUACUAUAGUAUAGUAUACUGUAGUUUACUGUAAUGUACUGUAGAAUAGUGGACUCUACUGCACUGUAGUGUACUAUACUGUAGUGUACUAUACUGUAGUGUACUAUAUGGUACUGUAUAUACUAUAGUGUAGUGUGCUGUAGUGUACUAUACUGUAGUGUACUGUACGGUACUGUAUGUACUAUAGUGUAGUGUGCUGUAGUGUACUAUUCUGUAGUGUGCUGUACGGUACUGUAUGUACUAUAGUGUAGUGUGCUGUAGUGGACUAUACUGUAGUGUACUGUAUGUACUAUACUGUAGUGUGCUGUAUGUACUAUACUGUAGUGUGCUGUAUGUACUAUAGUGUAGUGUGCUGUAGUGGACUAUACUGUAGUGUACUGUAUGUACUAUAGUGUAGUGUGCUGUAUGGUACUGUAUGUACUAUAGUGUAGUGUACUGUAUGUACUAUAGUGUAGUGUGCUGUAUGGUACUGUAUGUACUAUAGUGUAGUGGACUGUAUGUACUAUAGUGUAGUGUGCUGUAUGGUACUGUAUGUACUAUAGUGUAGUGGACUGUAUGUACUAUAGUGUAGUGUGCUGUAGUGGACUAUACUGUAGUGUGCUGUAUGUACUAUACUGUAGUGUGCUGUAGUGUGCUGUAUGUACUAUAGUGUAGUGUGCUGUAGUGUACUGUACGGUACUGUAUGUACUAUAGUGUAGUGUGCUGUAGUAGACUGGACUGGACUGGACAGAGUAUGAGUGCCCACGGAAGCCAGAGGAGAGCACUGGCCUCCCUGGAGCUAGAGUUACAGGUGUUUGUGAGCCAUUUGACGAGGAUGCUGGAGACCACACUCUAGUCCUUGGCAUAAGCUCAUGAUCAUCUUUAGUCCCUAUUUAGUUCACCUUUAGUGACUUUCAAUAACAUUUUACCUUAUUUUUUUAAACAAAUUCUCACACAAUAGUCCAAUCUGUCCUGGAAUUCACCAUGAAAUCAAAGUUAUCCUUGAACUCACAGCCUGGAAUUAUGCUCCUGCCUCAGUUUCCUUCCUGAGUCGCAGGUGCGACUCACCAUGCCUGGCUAAUUUCAUCAUUCGUGCUGUGAAUGCCAUGCAAGGCAUCUGUUUGGUUUACUCUCUGGUGUUUGGUGUUUGUCGGUGCCAGUAUUUAGUGCCUUAGAGAACUUGUUAUUUUCCAACAUGAUUACUAGGCAAUACAGCCUUGAUAAACGCUAGAUUCUUGAGGGUUCUCCCUAGCCAUGUCUUCUCAGGAUAAUAAAUUAUUUGCCUUCCAGUCAUGGCUCUUUCCCCGCCCCUCAGAGCACUGGUUGGUCCCUCAGUGCCUGAGACUAAAAGUGGGGAAGGCAGGUGUGCUUCCUUUGUUCCUGACUUAAGAAGGGAUGUCUGGUUGUCACCAUGCUGUUCUGCUGCGUGCUUUUCUUAAAUGACCAGUUUAGACUAGUUAGGGGCCAAGCAAAAAUAACGGGUGUGUUCAGCCACUCGACAGAUAGGGCUGAGGUGACACACAAGCACAAAUUCAUCUAUAAGGCAGCUAGAAAGGGAACGAGAUGGAAGACAGUAAGUCAUCCAAUGUAUAUCCAGUGAGCAUGCUAGGAACUGUGCAAGGACACAGAGGCAGUGUUCAUAAUUAUCACUGCAUUUAGAAAAGUCCUAAAAUAACAUUGACCUAAGAAGAAAGUGUGAGAUUCCCUUAAAGAUACUGAAUCAAGCCAGACAGAGUGUUCAUAUCUGCAAUUCCAGCCCUCAGGGAGGCAAGGCAUGACUUCAAGGCUAGCCUUGGCUACAAAUUAAGUUCCAAGACAGCCUGGACUGAAGAGUGAGAUCUUGAGUCCCAUCAGGACUAAGCACACCCUCUCCCACUGAGGCCAGACAAGGCAUCCCAGCUAGGGGAAAGGGAUCCAAAGGGGGCAACAGGGUUUAAUCAAAGACAGCCCCAGUUGCUCCAAUUAUUAGGGGAUCCAUGUGAAGACCAAGGUGUACAUCUGCUACAUAUGUUAGGGAACCUAGGUCCAGUCAUGCAGACAGAGCAGAUUGGUACCCAGGGUGGAGGAGGGGAGGGAGGGUGAAACUGGGAGGAGAGGACAGAGGGGGCUGCAAUUGGAAUGUAAGGUAAAUAAAUAAAUCAACUAAUGAAAAAUAAAACAAAGAACCUUCAAAAGAAACAAGAGUGAGAACUUAUUUAAAAGAAGAAAGAAAGAAAGAAAGAAAGGAAGGAAGGAAGGAAGGAAGGAAGGAAGACCAAAGAAACAAGUGAGAAAAGGAAGAAAGCAAAGAAGGAGAGAAGGAAUAUAUCAACCAUUUAAAAUAUUUCCAUAGAAAAAGCAGGUGGCCCCGGUGGCCUUACUGGCAGGUUCUGCUCACUAGUCCAGAAAGAAAUCCAUGUUACAGAAAGCAAUGAAGGCUUAAUGGUAAAAUUAAUCUGUACACUUUGCCACUUGGCAAUCUAAGGACAGUCUCACUAGAGGCACUAAAUAAAAUGUAAUAUGUUCAUUCAUGUUGUCUAUUAUUAGCAAAUUAUCGCUUAAUUUUUAAAAUCACAUCUAUUUGUGUGUACAUGUAUGUGGAGGUUACAGGUCAUCUCUGGGAGUUAGUUCUUCCCUCCCACCAGGGAUGGGAGACAGGACAUCAGGCAUGGAAGCAAGUGCCUUUAGCUGCUGACCCAUUGCAGUAGCCCAAAUUGUUGGGUAUGGUCUGUCUGUCCAUCUUCUGUCCCUUUCUUCCUCAUCCCUCCUUCCCUCCCUUCCUUCCGUCUUUGACCUGAUAAAGUCUCGCUGUAUAGUCCAGAACUCACUGUGGAGCCCAGGCGAGCAUAGAAUUUGUCAUUCUCUUGCCCAACCUCCUAAAUCCUUAGAUUUUAGGUGUGACUUUUACAUUUUUAUUAUAUAUUAGAAAUCCUAUUUUGUUCUGUCAAUAAAACUUGUUAAUAUGAUAGGUCUCCUUCAAAUAUGGUUUGCAUAUUUAUUUUAUACUCUGAUUUUGAUAGUUCUAGCACCUAAAACUUUUUUUUUUAAACAAGCCAAGCCUGACCUCACUCUGUAAGCCAGGCUGACAUCAAAGUCAUGUCAAUGCUCCUGCCUCAGCCUCCUCAAUACUAGGAUUAUAGGUGUGCACCAUCAUGCUUGGCUGCAAAGCUAUUUUUAAAUUUUAAAUUAAUUUAUCUUCGGGGCCUAGGAGAAGCCAUGGCACACACGUGAAGGUCAGGAGACAACUUUUAGGAGUCAGUUCUUUCCUACCAGUGUGUGAUUCUGGGCAUCAAACUGGAGUCAUCAUCCCACGGUACCCCCCACCCAUGCUAAUUUUGAACAGUUUCACUGCCUCUUCUCCCAUUGACUCUUAAUCAAAGUGCAUUGUGUGCGCACGUCUGUUUGCUUUAUUCACUGAGUUCCUAUGGCUUAGGACUUUAUUGCGAGAAUUCUUGUAGGCCUGGGUUGGAGGUGAACUCUGCCAGAACUCGUGCUGUGUGUCCAGAGACUUACAAUACUGCACAGCUAGAAGUAAAUUCCUGAGUGAUAUGCUCCCUGCAAGAGCCACAGACUAUAAAACACCUCAGUGUCACGCAUGGAAAAUGUCCCUUCAAGUUGUUGGUCAGGGGAGUCUGAGACUCCCAAAACAAUGGAGUUGUCAUUGCCCUUGGUUGCCUGCUCCAGGACUUGAAAGUAAGACCUUAUUACUAAAGAUGCUGCUGCACAUUAUAGACAUGGAAUGUGGAGGAAUCAAGCUGGAACUGACUUCUUCUCCCUGAGGACUGGCUCUCAGAUUUGCUAUGCAAGCUGCCAAGGGAGAGGAGCCCUCAGUAGUCCUACCCAACUGAAAUGCAUGACUCAGAUCAAUGACGGCUCUGGCCAGAGAGCCAUGACAGUGCAGUUGUGGGUCUUCUGUCUUGGGGGUUACCAACAGUUGUCAAAUUAAACUUUAGAGCUCCUCAACAGGAAAGAAUUGACACCAGCCUUUUUAUUUUUAACUACCUGAAUAACAUAAAUUUAGGUGAAAACUUUUAUAGUCUCAGGAGAAACAUUUUUUUUGUCCAAUGUCACUACUAAAGAAUGUACCUUCAGGGAAGCCCUUGGUCCUGCUAAGACUGAACCCCCAGUGAACGUGAUUGUUGGGGGGAGGGUGGCAAUGGGGGGAGGAUGGGGAGGGGAACACCCAUAAAGAAGGGGAGGGGGAGGGAUUAGGGGGAUGUUUGCCCGGAAACCGGGAAAGGGAAUAACACUCGAAAUGUAAAUAAGAAACACUCAAGUUAAUAAAAAAAAAAAAAAAGAAUGUACCUUCAUGCAGGGUGUUUUUCUGCAGGUCACCCUCUUCUUGAUAAUGAGGUUCUUUUAUAUUUUUGUUAUAGUUUUACUCAUUUAUUUAUUUUGAGAGCAUAUGUAUGUACACAUGUGCAUGUCAGAGGACAACUUUCAAGAGUCCAGUUUUUGCCUUGCACAUGUGGGUUCCAAGGGUUGAUCUCAAGUAGUUACAUUAGUGGGCUCCCUUACCAACUGAGCCAUCCUGAUGUCUUAGAUCAUGGAGUUCUUCGGAGUCAGUAUUAGUUCCCUGAGACUGCUGUAACAAAGCACCACUAGCUAGAUGGUCUAACAUGAGGGAACUUUAUCCUCACAGUUCUGGAGCCAAGGAGGCUGAAGUUAGUGCCUCAUUGGAAGUGGAGGUUUGGAGGGGGUAAUCCUGCAGGGGGAUUGUCAGCAGCAUCGACUUCCUCUGUCACCUGACCUCCUUACCUGUCUGCCUCCUCCCCUCUUCUUCCAAGGACACCAGUCACAUUGGAUUUUAACCCUCUGUAAUGGCAUUCAAAAGUUCCGGUGGGUCAGGACUCGAGCAUAUCUUCUGGAGGGACAUAAAGUGAUGCAUGGCAAACCCUAAUCCACAGAGAGAUGCCUACAGCACAUGUGUGCUCUGGGGCCCAUAUCACCUUAUCAGGAAACUGCUCAGAGCAGUAAAUUCUCAGCACACCACCCCCAGAAUACUGAAUGAGAAUACCUGAGGGCCGAGCUCAGGGCUCUGUGUGUUAAUAAACGCAAGAUCCAAACUUCCCACACAUUGCCCUGGUCACAUCUCCUGGACUUGACACACAUCCUAGCCUGUUCUCGCAAGUUCAACACCUUAGAAAGCGCCCCACUUUCCUUUUCUCUUCUAGGGCCUUACAUUGCCUUGGGUCUGGCCUCCGAGGCACCCCUGCAUUCAUAUGCUUGCUUUGCAAAUUGUUUAUACUGAUUACAUCUUCAGAUCUAAAAGGAUCUUCGAAACUCAUAAAAAUAUCAGAAAAACAGUGCAACAGCAGUGCUGUUCCUCUCUGCAUAGAGGAAUUUCCAUUAUUCCCUGCGGAACCAUGUGAAAGUAGCUGCAGACAUGCCUAGUCAGCGUUAGCGUGUCACUCAAGGACAGGACUAUAGCCCUGUGCCAGCGGCAUUUAGGUGUGUUCCUCUCCAGGCUUCUUUAUACUAAAAAAAAAUGGAGGAGAAGUUUCCUUCUUCCCCAAAACUUUUGAUUGUCCAGCUAUGUCUUUCAGGAUUUACCUCAUUAAAGUGAAAACUGAGGCAUGUUGGAGUAUGUAUUUGUGUUUGAAUUUUGGAGACAAGGCAUCGUUUGGCCCAGGCUGCCCUUGAGCCCACUAUGCAGUUAAGGAUGUCUUUUAACUCCUGAAUCCUCCUGCCUCUGUACUUUAUGUGGUGGGAUUACAUGUGUGUACCUCCAAGCUUCCUUUAAAACAUGUUUAUAAACUAAUUUAAAGUAACAAUAAAGGGCAAGUUUGAUGGCUCCACAGUAAAGGCUGCCUACCUGAGUUUUAUCUCAGGGACCCACAUGAUGAAGGGAGGAAGAAACAGCUCCCCAUAGUUGUUCUCUGGCUUCCCACAAGUAACAUGGCAAACACUAGCACACCCAUAACACACACUCAGGUGGAGGGAGAGAGGGAGAGAGAGAAAAUAUAUACAUUUUAAUUUAAAAGAAAAAUCACAUUUACCAGAACACAAAAACUGUUAAGGAGGUCAUUGUACCUUCUUCCGGUCUCUUUCAUAUCAAGGUUGAUUGCCAUGUGAAAUCUGAAACCCUGUUAAUGAAGGUUGAUCUCUGCUUCACUUUAAAUGGGUCUUCUGUCCACACAUGAUAACAUCCUGCUUUGUUCACUUGGAAACUCUGAUAUGUUUUAUUAUUCAGCAUAGAAAGUGAAGUUCAUAAAUGUCACGUUUAAUCUCAUCAGAAAAGUCCUUAAGGGCUGUAGAGAUGGCUCAGUAGUAAGUGUUUACUGAGCAAACACGAGGACCUGAGUUCUCUUCCCAGCAUCCAUGUUGCCUCUUACCACGGUACUGAGGUGGCAGAGGCGACAUUGUCCUUAAGGAUUACUAACCAGCCAAUCUGACUGAAUUUGUCUUAGGAAAUAAGGUAGAGGGGCUGGCAAGAUGUCUUCUCAGGAAAAGGGAGUGGUGACCUGAGUUCAAUCCCUAGAACUCACAUGGUGGACUUUUCAAAGUUGUCAUUGAGUUACCCACCCAUAUACCAGGUGACUAUACACACACACACACACACACACACACACACACACACACACGGACUUUUUCGAUUGGUCCUGGGCAUGUAACUGGAUAAACUACAUCUUCAUCCCCAACCCUAAACAGUUGCUGAUAGAGUAACUGAAGUUGUUUUCUACAGAGUAAGUCAGGGUACCCUGUCAGAUGCUGCAGGAAGUCAUUGUCUCGUUUUUAACUUUUAUGUUUGAGGUUUGAAGAUAGCAUUUUUAUUGUAAAGCAUGAAAUGCUGGCUCAAAGAUGUGUGAGACAACAAUGGCUUCUGGGUAGUCUUGAUCCAAUAGCUCAUCACUGGUACCAAAUUAACAGAUUCUCUGCUCUCUCCUCUUCAGCCCUUGGUGGCUCCUGUAUCAAUAUGGAAUGACUCAUGGCAGCCAAUGGGCUUUGGAUUCGUCUAUAUCUCGAGGAGGUCUGAGAGUCUCCCUAUAGAAGGCCCCUAGAAAGCAUCCUUUAGUUCUCUCACCAGUCUGUCCUUCUACCAUCCCUACGGCAGAGACAUGGGAUAUGCCAAGUGACUUAAAGCAACCAGGACCCACCAAACAUCUGACAAUAUGGUCAGCUUCUCUAAGCACAGGGGCUACAGGAGUUGAGGGGACAGGGUAGAGGAGGAGAGAAUCUUGUGGGCCUCUUUCCAAAGGAAAAACCAACCGAAUAGUGGGCGAUGGAACCUGCAAACACCUACAAAGGAAUCCAUCAGUAUCCACAAUACUAUAGUACACUUCUCUGUGCUAGCAAGAUGGCUCUUUGACUAGAGACACUUACUGCCAAGCUUGGUGACCUGAGUUUGAUCCUUGGGACUCACAUAGUGGAAGGAGAGAACUGACUUCCACAAGUCAUCCUCUGACAUGUGUGCUGUGACACUCAUGUACCCACUCUACCACAACUUUAUGAGUCCCUACAGUGCAGUAGAUACUGUGUCACACUGCUUUCACACUGCAGCAACUGCACAUAGCUUCAUAAGCCACCACUGUGAGCGAGCAGAGGUGACAGGGAGCCAUCUGCAGUCACUGGUGUCAUGGCAUUUCCUAUAUAAAGCCCUAUAGUUUCAUACAAGGUCAGCAUGACAGUGUCUUUCUCAAAUGAUGUACCAAGAGUUUCAUAACCUUCCUCAGUCCAUGGUGACAGUCAAAUGCAGCCAAGUCAUGAUGGGGUCAGUAGCACCAUCUGGCCCAGGACUGAGUAGAACUCUUGAUUAUAGAUUCAGGUCCCUCCUGAACUGUGACACGCUGUGCACAGAACUGUGCUUCUCAGAGCCCCCACAGGUCACCAUGGAACUGUACCUCCUGCUGGGCAAGGCCUCACUCAUUCCAAUGUCCCCAAAAGUGACCACUGCUCAGAGCUAAGCAGACCUUCUCAGAUUCUCUUCAGCAUCUUAGGGAACCUUGGGGCCUUUGAUGUUUAUGGUUGUGAGAUUCAGCGCCAUGGAUUCCCUGGUUUGAGAGAAAAACAACAUAGACACUUCAUGGACUUGCAGGGUUGUAGGCUGGAUCCACUGCCAACACUUAAGGCCGAGAAGUACAACACCAGAAAUACAAAUUGGAACAAUAAGCAGCUCUGGGUUGGGGAUGUAGCUAGGAGAGUUGAGUACUUCUUUAGAACGUGCAAACG
Molecule: non-coding RNA, 10462 nt
Organism: Rattus norvegicus (Norway rat)
Lineage: Eukaryota; Metazoa; Chordata; Mammalia; Rodentia; Muridae
Source: RefSeq, a predicted model, not a curated record